UGAUAGAUUGGCUAACUCUUCAGGUAGCUCACCAUUUAUAUUUAGCGCCUUGAGUUUACUAAAGAAUUCAUAGACAUACAUGCAUAUUAGGAUCAAAUUAAGUAGAUUGAUCAAAAUCUAGCAAGUCUAUAUAUAAGUAUAACACACAUACAUUUCAGAAACAUGACAAAAUUGGUUGUUGGAUGUGUUAGUGUUGCAUUCGCAUGUGAUCACCAUUGCUUUUCCGUUAUCGAAGGUCUUAUUCCAAUUGCCUUGGCCACUGCACGGAUCAACGCUGAAAUUCCAUAUAUUCAAUUUGUAUUUGGUGUGUAUCUGCCUCAGUAUUUUCACUGCAUGUAUAUGUAUGUAUACAUGGAAACUUGUUAAUUUUAGAAGAAGAAAAAUAUCAACUGAUUAACUCAACCCUUCUAUGAAUCGUAGUAAAAUAUUAAAGAUUUCUCGAUCAAGCACGAAAUCGUGGCAUGAGGUAUAAAAAUAGCAUGUCGUGUCUGCUAUUGCCACCCUAUUUUUACAUUAAACUCCAAAAAAAUCUUAACCUAAAUACCUUCAUCUGGAUCCAGAACCUUUUGUGCUAAAGCAGGCGUUAAAUAUCCAAAGGAGGAGAGUAGAAGUAGAAAAACAGCAAAGAUCUUUGAAAACCCUUCCAUCCUUUUUUCUUUUCUUUCUUCCUAAUUCUGAAAAAUGUCUGUCUGCAAUUAACUUAGAAACCAGUUGCUGUAUAUUAAUAGAUUUUUGUAAAUCACAGUGAGCCACAACUGCAUAUGUUAAGUAAAUCAAAAAAAUUGAUGGGCUAAAAUUAAUUAUCAUGUAAAUCUAAGAAAAACCCAUCAAUAUCAUAUUUUUAUACCAAUUGCAAAACAAAGUAGACUUUUGAAGUUCUAUCCAUC
Molecule: long non-coding RNA, 887 nt
Filed under: Zostera marina
Lineage: Eukaryota; Viridiplantae; Streptophyta; Magnoliopsida; Alismatales; Zosteraceae
Description: long non-coding RNA (ZMAR_LNC000737)
Source: RNAcentral